Molecule: ribosomal RNA, 328 nt
Filed under: uncultured Allapsidae
Lineage: Eukaryota; Cercozoa; Glissomonadida; Viridiraptoridae
Description: SSU rRNA
Rfam family: Eukaryotic small subunit ribosomal RNA (bases 105-328)
Source: RNAcentral
GAUUUCUGACGAAACUGCUAGCUGGCCCGUCACGUCAGUGAUGUGUGCCGGCUUGGCGUUUGUCAUCCGUUCGAAUGAUAUGCGCGCUGCCCUUCACUGGGUUGGUGCUGCAUGUUUUCGAUCUUUUACUUUGAAAAAAUUAGAGUGUUUCAAGCAGGCGUUAUGCUAUGAAUACAUUAGCAUGGAAUAAUAAUUUAGGACUUCGGUUCUAUUUUGUUGGUUUCUAGGACUGAAGUAAUGAUUGAUAGGGACAGUUGGGGGUGCUAGUAUUCAGCGGCCAGAGGUGAAAUUCUCGGAUUCGCUGAAGACUAACUUAUGCGAAAGCAUU